AUGGUCGGCCUCCCCACGGACGGGUACUCUGGGCAACAGAGCCCUACCACGGCCAGCAACCAGCUGCUGCUCCACUCGCUCCUGCGCCCGGGCACGUCGCAAGAGAUGGAUCGGUUGAUAUCCACAACCGUGAGCAUGGCGGCGGCAGAGGAAGCCGUCUACCAGGACGACGACGGAGAUGACGACUACUACGACGACCUGGGCCACGAGGAGCACCGCCUGCUGCGGCGUCGAUGGCAGCGGGAGCUGCGUGCACGGCAGCUACUGGCGUCGGGGCUGGAGCCAUGGCAGGUGCGGGAGCUGGAGGAGGAUGUCGGCAGGUCGGAGAGGGUCCUGCAGCGCCCGCCGCUGCCACCAACCUUCACCAUGGCCGGCCUGGUGUUCAGCUGCAUAGCAGUCCUCGGAGUCACGUCCGGCGCCUUCGUCGCUGGCUGGGUCGGUUGGGCCGUGUUGCCCUGUCACUCUGGCAAGAAGAAGCCGCCGCCUCCUCGUCGUGCUCUUCUUGCCCGCUUCCUAUAUGGCUUAUAG
RNAcentral lists this ribosomal RNA (528 nucleotides) under Triticum aestivum (bread wheat). Its description in RNAcentral is "partial small subunit ribosomal RNA". Lineage: Eukaryota; Viridiplantae; Streptophyta; Magnoliopsida; Poales; Poaceae. The record is from RNAcentral.